AGUGAACGCUGGCGGUAGGCCUAACACAUGCAAGUCGAACGGCAGCACAGUAAGAGCUUGCUCUUACGGGUGGCGAGUGGCGGACGGGUGAGGAAUACAUCGGAAUCUACUUUUUCGUGGGGGAUAACGUAGGGAAACUUACGCUAAUACCGCAUACGACCUACGGGUGAAAGCAGGGGAUCUUCGGACCUUGCGCGAUUGAAUGAGCCGAUGUCGGAUUAGCUAGUUGGCGGGGUAAAGGCCCACCAAGGCGACGAUCCGUAGCUGGUCUGAGAGGAUGAUCAGCCACACUGGAACUGAGACACGGUCCAGACUCCACCGGGAGGCAGCAGUGGGGAAUAUUGGACAAUGGGCGCAAGCCUGAUCCAGCCAUACCGCGUGGGUGAAGAAGGCCUUCGGGUUGUAAAGCCCUUUUGUUGGGAAAGAAAAGCAGCAGGUUAAUACCCCGCUGUUCUGACGGUACCCAAAGAAUAAGCACCGGCUAACUUCGUG
This 492-nucleotide ribosomal RNA is filed under the name uncultured bacterium. RNAcentral describes it as "partial 16S ribosomal RNA". It matches the Rfam family "Bacterial small subunit ribosomal RNA", at positions 29 to 507 of the family's 1533-position model. The record is from RNAcentral.